GUCCACGCCGUAAACGAUGGAUACUAGCUGUUCGGAGCAAUCUGAGUGGCUAAGCGAAAGUGAUAAGUAUCCCACCUGGGGAGUACGUUCGCAAGAAUGAAACUCAAAGGAAUUGACGGGGGCCCGCACAAGCGGUGGAGCAUGUGGUUUAAUUCGAUGAUACGCGAGGAACCUUACCAAGGCUUAAAUGUAGAUUUACCGGACUGGAAACAGUUUUUUCGCAAGACAAUUUACAAGGUGCUGCAUGGUUGUCGU
Molecule: ribosomal RNA, 255 nt
Filed under: uncultured bacterium
Lineage: Bacteria
Description: partial 16S ribosomal RNA
Rfam family: Bacterial small subunit ribosomal RNA
Source: RNAcentral